CCUACGGGUGGCAGCAGUGAGGAAUAUUGGUCAAUGGACGAGAGUCUGAACCAGCCAAGUAGCGUGAAGGAUGACUACCCUAUGGGUUGUAAACUUCUUUUAUAUGGGAAUAAAAUGUUCCACGUGUGGGAUUUUGUAUGUACCAUAUGAAUAAGGAUCGGCUAACUCCGUGCCAGCAGCCGCGGUAAUACGGAGGAUCCGAGCGUUAUCCGGAUUUAUUGGGUUUAAAGGGAGCGUAGGUGGAUUUUUAAGUCAGUUGUGAAAGUUUGCGGCUCAACCGUAAAAUUGCAGUUGAAACUGGCAGUCUUGAGUACAGUAGAGGUGGGCGGAAUACGUGGUGUAGCGGUGAAAUGCUUAGAUAUCACGAAGAACUCCGAUUGCGAAGGCAGUUCACUGGACUGCAACUGACACUGAGGCUCGAAAGUGUGGGUAUCAAACAGGAUUAGAUACCCUUGUAGUC
RNAcentral lists this ribosomal RNA (460 nucleotides) under uncultured bacterium. RNAcentral describes it as "partial 16S ribosomal RNA". It matches the Rfam family "Bacterial small subunit ribosomal RNA", at positions 338 to 795 of the family's 1533-position model. The record is from RNAcentral.